GCCUUCGUGGUGUAGUGGUCAGCAUUCUCGACGCGUAACCGAGAGGCCCAUGGUUCGAUUCCCGGAGAGGGUA
RNAcentral lists this transfer RNA (73 nucleotides) under Stegodyphus mimosarum. It matches the Rfam family "tRNA". Rfam says of the family: Transfer RNA (tRNA) molecules are approximately 80 nucleotides in length. Their secondary structure includes four short double-helical elements and three loops (D, anti-codon, and T loops). Further hydrogen bonds mediate the characteristic L-shaped molecular structure. tRNAs have two regions of fundamental functional importance: the anti-codon, which is responsible for specific mRNA codon recognition, and the 3' end, to which the tRNAs corresponding amino acid is attached (by aminoacyl-tRNA synthetases). tRNAs cope with the degeneracy of the genetic code in two manners: having more than one tRNA (with a specific anti-codon) for a particular amino acid; and 'wobble' base-pairing, i.e. permitting non-standard base-pairing at the 3rd anti-codon position. The record is from Rfam by way of RNAcentral. Lineage: Eukaryota; Metazoa; Arthropoda; Arachnida; Araneae; Eresidae.